Molecule: long non-coding RNA, 934 nt
Filed under: Corvus moneduloides (New Caledonian crow)
Lineage: Eukaryota; Metazoa; Chordata; Aves; Passeriformes; Corvidae
Description: lncRNA (ENSCMUG00000017712.1)
Source: RNAcentral
AUGCUCUUCUUUCCCGUGCCGCUUGCAAAGGCGCUGUCUGUGCGUGCGUGUGUGUCCCCGCGUGUGCGUGUCCCGGCGUGUUUGUCCCCGCGUGUCCCCGCGUGUGCGCCGUGCCCGCACGCCGGCGCAGCAUGUGUGGCCCUGCAACGUGCGGGGUGUGCGGCGUGUGCGGGGAGCGCGGCGGCCCCGGCCCCACGUGCGGGGCGGGGGGAGCGGACACCCCCCACACCACCACCCCCUCUCAGAGCCGGGCUGGCGGGUUUCUCUCCGGUAUUCCCGGCGGGAACCGCAGGCGGGAAGUGUCAGCUGAGGCGAUCCAUAGCGAUGUGUUUAUCUCCGCUGCCAGCGCUGACCGCUCGCUUUUCAUUUGGUUCAGUUUUGCUCCCUCCCUUCCUCGGGCUCCGGCUCCUGGAGGUGCGUGACCUCCAAACCCGGGCUCCCACAGAAUCCAGCGGCUUGGGGAGGCGGGGAAUUACCCCAAUAAACACCAAACACGCCCCCGCCUGCCAAAACAGAGACGGGAACCUCACAUCAUUCCUGUCUAACGAUGGUGCUGUACAGACUCUUCCAGUCAAGUGGCUUGCUCCUCAGAACUGCCUCAAGUGAUAACACCCAGCAUAUUCCAGUCCUUUGGGAAGCCCCAGGAGAAGCAAAGCACUUCCUCACCAUUUUGAUGAAAACCUAAGGAUUUUUUUAUGCCUUUUUAUGGACUUCUGGGAGAAGAAGAAAGAGUUUUGGGUCAUGCAUAGAAGCACGUGUUCCUUUUUUUUUUUUUUAAUUAAAUGGAAAUUUGGGAUAUUUUACAGUCUUAGUAAAAACAGCGUGAGAGUCUUUAAAAGGAUAAACCUAGAGCAACACUGUUGGACUGGCUGUAUAAGGCCAUACGGUACUGACCUGGAUAUUUAUGGUGGUUACCCACUAUCGUGGGGUCCCA